UUCUGAAACAUUUCUUUUAAAUUCCAAUACAGCUAACAUACAGACUGUUACCAGUCCAGGAUGAGGUGAAUUCUGAAACAUUUCUUUUAAAUUCCAAUACAGCUAACAUACAGACUGUUACCAGUCCAGGAUGAGGUUGAAUUCUGAAACAUUUCUUUUAAAUUCCAAUACAGCUAACAUACAGACUGUUACCAGUCCAGGAAGAGGUUGAAUUCUGAAACAUUUCUUUUAAAAUUCCAAUACAGCUAACAUACAGACUGUUACCAGUCCAGGAUGAGGUGAAUUCUGAAACAUUUCUUUUAAAUUCCAAUACAGCUAACAUACAGACUGUUACCAGUCCAGGAUGAGGUUGAAUUCUGAAACAUUUCUUUUAAAUUCCAAUACAUCUAACAUACAGACUGUUACCAGUCCAGGAUGAGGUUGAAUUCUGAAACAUUUCUUUUAAAUUCCAAUAUGCUAACAUACAGACUGUUACCAGUCCAGGAUGAGGUGAAUUCUGAAACAUUUCUUUUAAAUUCCAAUACAGCUAACAUACAGACUGUUACCAGUCCAGGAUGAGGUGAAUUCUGAAACAUUUCUUUUAAAU
Long non-coding RNA from Lineus longissimus, 586 nucleotides. RefSeq lists it as uncharacterized. The record is from RefSeq and is a predicted model, not a curated record. The transcript has 3 exons. NCBI's taxonomy places the organism in Eukaryota, Metazoa, Nemertea, Pilidiophora, Heteronemertea, Lineidae.